RNAcentral lists this ribosomal RNA (301 nucleotides) under uncultured bacterium. Its description in RNAcentral is "partial 16S ribosomal RNA". It matches the Rfam family "Bacterial small subunit ribosomal RNA", at positions 509 to 807 of the family's 1533-position model. The record is from RNAcentral.
CAGCCGCCGCGGUAAUACAGAGGGUGCAAGCGUUAAUCGGAAUUACUGGGCGUAAAGCGCGCGUAGGUGGUUUGUUAAGUUGGAUGUGAAAGCCCCGGGCUCAACCUGGGAACUGCAUCCAAAACUGGCAAGCUAGAGUACGGUAGAGGGUGGUGGAAUUUCCUGUGUAGCGGUGAAAUGCGUAGAUAUAGGAAGGAACACCAGUGGCGAAGGCGACCACCUGGACUGAUACUGACACUGAGGUGCGAAAGCGUGGGGAGCAAACAGGAUUAGAGACCCCCGUAGUCCCUGUCUCUUAUAC